RNAcentral lists this ribosomal RNA (775 nucleotides) under uncultured Neocallimastigales. RNAcentral's name for it is "partial large subunit ribosomal RNA". It matches the Rfam family "Eukaryotic large subunit ribosomal RNA", at positions 24 to 645 of the family's 3401-position model. Lineage: Eukaryota; Fungi; Neocallimastigomycota; Neocallimastigomycetes; Neocallimastigales. The record is from RNAcentral.
UAUCUCUGUAGAGUCUGCAUAUCAAUAAGCGGAGGAAAAGAAGCUAACUAGGAUUCCCUCAGUAACGGCGAGUGAAGCGGGAAGAGCUCAAAUUUGAAAUCUUCAAGGUUCUACCUUGACGAAUUGUAGUUUAAAGAAGUGUUUUCUGUUGGAGUUUUGGUAAAAGUUCUUUGGAAUAGGACAUCAUAGAGGGUGAGAAUCCCGUAUUUGACCAUUAUUUCCAGCUUUGUGAUACACUUUCAAAGAGUCGGAUUGUUUGGGAAUGCAGUCCAAAAUGGGUGGUAAAUUUCAUCUAAAGCUAAAUAUUGGCGAGAGACCGAUAGCGAACAAGUACCGUGAGGGAAAGAUGAAAAGAACUUUGAAAAGAGGAGUUAAACAGUACGUGAAAUUGUCAAAAGGGAAGCGUUUGACACCAGUGUUGUUUUCUCGAAAAUCAAUUAAAAAAAGUUGGAUUUUGUAUUGUUAAGACCUUAUCAGCUUACUGUACUCUUUUCUUGCUUUUUUUAAUGCACUUUUCGUUUAACAAGUCAACAUCAAUUUCUUUUGUUGUAAAAGAGUCAUUGGAAGGUGGCUUUCACUUCGGUGAAAGUGUUUAUAGCCUUUGGCUUCCGUAAUCGGAGAGAUUGAGGUCUGCAGCGUAGAUCCUUCGGGGCUAGAUACGUAGAUGCUAAGUUAUAGUUUUUUAUAGACAACUUGUUGACUAUAAUUAAUCAUGUAGCUUACUCGUUUGCGCUAUUUUACCUACGCUUAGGAUGUUGAAGUCAUCGUAUCGCGC